RNAcentral lists this ribosomal RNA (492 nucleotides) under uncultured bacterium. RNAcentral's name for it is "partial 16S ribosomal RNA". It matches the Rfam family "Bacterial small subunit ribosomal RNA", at positions 29 to 507 of the family's 1533-position model. The record is from RNAcentral.
AGUGAACGCUGGCGGUAGGCCUAACACAUGCAAGUCGAACGGCAGCACAGUAAGAGCUUGCUCUUACGGGUGGCGAGUGGCGGACGGGUGAGGAAUACAUCGGAAUCUACUUUUUCGUGGGGGAUAACGUAGGGAAACUUACGCUAAUACCGCAUACGACCUACGGGUGAAAGCAGGGGAUCUUCGGACCUUGCGCGAUUGAAUGAGCCGAUGUCGGAUUAGCUAGUUGGCGGGGUAAAGGCCCACCAAGGCGACGAUCCGUAGCUGGUCUGAGAGGAUGAUCAGCCACACUGGAACUGAGACACGGUCCAGACUCCUACGGGAGGCAGCAGUGGGGAAUAUUAGACAAUGGGCGCAAGCCUGAUCCAGCCAUACCGAGUGGGUGAAGAAGGCCUUCGGGUUGUAAAGCCCUUUUGUUGGGAAAGAAAAGCAGCAGGUUAAUACCCCGCUGUUCUGACGGUACCCAAAGAAUAAGCACCGGCUAACUUCGUG